GCCUCGAUAGCGCAGUAGGCAGCGCGCGAGUCUCAUAAUCUCGAGGUCGUGAGUUCG
This 57-nucleotide transfer RNA is filed under the name Daphnia pulex (common water flea). It matches the Rfam family "tRNA", at positions 1 to 55 of the family's 71-position model. Rfam says of the family: Transfer RNA (tRNA) molecules are approximately 80 nucleotides in length. Their secondary structure includes four short double-helical elements and three loops (D, anti-codon, and T loops). Further hydrogen bonds mediate the characteristic L-shaped molecular structure. tRNAs have two regions of fundamental functional importance: the anti-codon, which is responsible for specific mRNA codon recognition, and the 3' end, to which the tRNAs corresponding amino acid is attached (by aminoacyl-tRNA synthetases). tRNAs cope with the degeneracy of the genetic code in two manners: having more than one tRNA (with a specific anti-codon) for a particular amino acid; and 'wobble' base-pairing, i.e. permitting non-standard base-pairing at the 3rd anti-codon position. Lineage: Eukaryota; Metazoa; Arthropoda; Branchiopoda; Diplostraca; Daphniidae. The record is from Rfam by way of RNAcentral.